UACAUAGUGAUGUAGUCUCAGCUUACUAAAGUGACAUCACUAUGUGGCGUCCUUCCGGCCACUGUCACUUCCACACACACGUCCCGAUAGCGUCUGGUCAUGUCUGAUUAUAAUUAUGUUUAUAGUCUUAAUUAAUAAAUAUAUUGUCAUAAACGACAGUGUCAUUAUUCAUCAAAUACAGAACCACAAUACAUGGUGUCAGAAGUCAAUUCAAUCAAAAAAGAAAAAUGUCUAAAAGCGAUGAAGACACGGCAAGUGGCGAGCGGCAAGAAAUGGCUUCCAAAUCGCCAAAGAAGCUCAACAUUAUGGGUAAUAUCAAGCCCAUGAGUCUAGAAGGAAAUCUGUCCACAAACUGGAAGAGAUGGUAUCAAAGUUUUGUAAUUUUUAUGAAAGCGAGCGCCAUUUUUGAUGAGCCGGAUGACCGCAAAGUGGCUGUCUUGUUGCAUUUCAUUGGCAACGAAUGUCUUGAUAUAUUCAACACUUUCAACCUAAACAUAGAAAAUGUAAAAUUUUCGCAACUGGUCGAAAAGUUUGAACAAUACUUUGUACCUAAAAGAAACAUUACAUAUGAGUGUUACAAAUUUUUCACUACAAAACAAAAAGUAGAUGAAAGUCUAGAAGAUUUCCUAACUCGUCUUAUAAAUAAGAGUAAGUCAUGUGAAUUUGGUAGUCUCCAAGAUAGAAUGAUAAAAGAUAUUUUCAUCACUAAUAUGCAUGAAACUUUUCAUCAUGUCAGAGAAAAGUUGUUACUUGAAGAAGAUCUGUCAUUAGAAAAGGCGCGAAACCUUGCUAAAAGCAUUGUGUCAGCGAAAACACAUGCAGAAGAAUUUAAGGAGUCUUCUUCCAAUGUCUUUUAUCAAUCUCAUUCAUCAACCAAACCACAGUCACGAGCGAGCUCAAAGUCAAGAGCCAGGUCGCAGUCUCAAGAUAGAACAAAGUGUACUAAAUGUGGUCAAGUGCAUAAAUACAUGUGUCCUGCUAGAUAUGCAAAGUGUAGAAAGUGCAAAAUUAGAGGACAUUAUGAAGCGUGCUAUUCACCUCGGAAAAUUCCAUUCUCACUUCAUGAUAGACUGAAGAAGGAACUAGACAACAUGGAAAGUAUGGAUGUCAUCUGUAAGGUCACUGAGCCAACAUCAUGGAAUGUUCUAAGUACCAUACAAACGCUGGUCGAUAUUUAAACAUUCACUACGCUUUACCAUUUGAAACAAUAUCGAUAUGAAACUUUAUGCAGCUUGUCACGUGCAACCUGACCUAAAUUUGAACUUAGCGAUAUGGGACGUGGCCUCAUCAGGAUUGCGGUUUGAUAUUGUACAGCCUCCUAGCCCAAUUUGCUCCACGGCGCAGCGGCCAAUAUCAACGGACAUCAACUAGGUGCGCAGAAGAUAUUAUAGUGCACAAGUAUCUGUUGUGACGGCAAUCCGAUACGACUGGAGAGAGAUAAGGCGCAGGACCAAAAUGACCGACUGAGUAAUUUUUAAGAUGGAAAAACCCAAUCCCAAUUAUCUUUGGCCUGCUCAGGACUCGAACCCAGGACUUCAGGGUUAUAGUUGUUCUCGCACUGCGUACGUAUUAUAACUACAUUACCGAGGCAGUCAAGUAAAUCAUUAUAUAUUUAUUGCUUACUUAUAUACAGCUAAAAAAAAUCAUAUUUUCUUUUGUAAAUUUGCAACCUUGAAGUAGAACUGUUGAUGUUGUGGCCGAAAUUACUAUUAUGUACUACAUUGUAGGUAAAUAAAAUAACUUAUUACAAUUAGAAUUCGAUUUGUGGAGAAUUGAAAAAAUAAACUACAGUUUAGGUAUUAAGUAUAAAUAAAACAGUAGUAUCAUCAAGAAAGCUUACAAUGUACAGUUUAUUGCGGCAUGAACCUUACACUUCCAAAUUUAAACCUUUAAGUAGGAAUUAGGUCACAAAACACGAUUACCUACCAAUAAUUAAUACAGGUGCUAGAUUCCUUAUUAAAUACCGACAUAAUACUAAUAUCAGUGGAAUGCACUUAACAUAUUAACACAUUAGCCACGCGAGUUCAACCUUACAGCAGUCACGUGACUUAUGUUUGUUAAACAAAGUUCCUAACGUGACAGCGUGACCGCUAUACCUCUGGUUCGAAUCCUUUUACGAGCGGGUUUCAACUGUUUGAAUUUCGAACUCUUCUGUUUUUCAAUUGUUUUUGUUUAAAGUUGGUUUCAAGAUGAAAACAAAAAAAAA
Molecule: unclassified non-coding RNA, 2206 nt
Filed under: Manduca sexta (tobacco hornworm)
Lineage: Eukaryota; Metazoa; Arthropoda; Insecta; Lepidoptera; Sphingidae
Description: uncharacterized protein K02A2.6-like, transcript variant X7
Source: RNAcentral